AAAAAGAAAAACCCCACCACUGUAAAAGCUUCCCCAUUGUUGAACCUGGUUCGUUAAUGGCUUCCCAUCUAAGAACACCACCUCCUCUCAGCCAAGAUCCACCUCUCAGCCAUCGCUGCACCACCAUCUCAUCCACCUUUCGGCCUCUCCACCUCUUCGAGUGCAAGCAUCGGCCGUGGCUUCUCGCUGUAAAGAGCAGCAAAGCGGAAGGAACUCUCACGAGAAAAGCACAGAAGUGGUGUGCAAUUGACUUCACUUGAAAUCCCAAAAAUUCAUUAAAUUUUGUGAUGCAACACUAGUGGCCGGAUUUCACAUCUAAUGACUAAUAUAUAAAUUAUUUUAUUACUUACACUACCAAUAUAACCAAAUUAGAGCACACAUCAAAAAUUUCACUAGAAGAGGUUGUUUUGAUGCCGAAAAAUCCUCAAAUUGAUCAUCUCAAGAUCACUAUGCUUGGACAUGAGAAAAAAAAAUGGAUUUGAAGUUUUGGAAAUAAUGCAUCUUAUAAUGUGUUUUUGGACCGUCAAUGUUCAAGAUUUUUAUGUUUUCAUAGAUAUGCUCGAUCUACACUAUUUUUGAAGCUUUAAAUUUUAUAAUUAGAGAUAAAACUAUAUUUUAAACUAUCACAAAGAUUUUCAGUAUUGAAACUAUAUUUCUCAACGCUAUUUUAAGGUGGACUCUACUUUGAUUGUUUAGAGCCUCAGCUCUAUAUAAACCACACCCUUGUAUUAUAUAUAGUGUAUUUAUAUUCAUUUUAUUAAUGUAUAUUUGUAUAUAUAAUAUAAUAUUUAUUAUAUUAUAUAUAAUAUAUGAUAUUUAUGUAUUAUAUAUGAAAAUAAUUAUAUAUUACACAAUAUACAUAAAUAUUAUAUAAAUGAUAUAAUAUAAAUAUAAAUAUAUAUUAUAUAAUAUAAUACAGAUAUAAAUUAAAUGGUUUGUGGAAGAAACCGCUUCAAGGGUCAAGUUCCUAUUUUAAGUUCUAUUGUUUUAGAUAGAACUGCUCAAGCUCUUGAGCACAAGGGAAAAAAAAGUUCUAUGGGAACUUCUCAACAGUAAAGUUUUUUGCAUCACGGGAGUUGUACAACAAUGAUGAAGUUCCGUUUUUUCUCCCCCUAAUUUCCUAUUAUCGAGCAAGCUCUAAGAAUAACGUUGACUUGGUAAACUAGCUAACACUUUAGUUCUAUGAACCUUGUUUAUUUUAGUAUGAUAUAUACAUUUAGAGAAAAUAGUUACGACAAAAGCUUUUCAUAUGUGACCAGUCAUUCAUGACCCCUAAACUACUAAAAAAGCCAAAAACAGUUAGAAUUGCAAAAAUAGAAAAUUAUAGAUACCCUCUAGAAUCAACUUUCUAAAUGUCCUAUCACCAAAUACUUUUUGUAUCGUAUCUUAGACCCAACAAUAUUUGUUUCUUAUAUUUACAUGCUUUUACAAGAGAAAAUUGUACAUUAGUUCUUUUUGCAAAAUCCUACAGAAUUUCUAUUGAAUCCAAUUUUUUAAAAUAUGACCUACCCAAAGUAGCAACGUCAAGAAAAAGAAAAAGUUCAAAAAGCACCCUAGAACAACCUGAAAAGCAUCAAGUACAAUUUUAGGAUGUUGGAUAUUAGGUUUUUAGGUAUUCAAAAAUUUGUAUUGUCUUUAUUUUAUUUCUUAAAAAUAAUUAUAUAGCAAUUCUAAAGUAGAGUAUAUAUUUAUAAGGAAAAAUAUACAAAGAGACCGUUUACUUUUAAUAUAAAAAAGUCAAAAUCAAUCUCUUCCGCACCUCCAAGAAUUACUAGAAGGUGUGCUUCUAAUGCCCAAAAUCCCUAGAUGGCUUGAAAAUGUAUAUCACUUCCAAAUUAUGAAAAAGCUUCAAGAAUGGUGCAGAUCAAGCACAUCGAUAUAUAUGUAUAAUCUUGAAAAUAGACAAUUCACAUAAUGUUUUACAAAAUGCACUAUAUUUAGGAUUUAAUUUUUUUUUUAUAUCCAUACAUGGUGAUGUCGAGAUAAUUUUAAGGUUUUCUGAUAUUAAUAAUUUUUCUAGUAGAAUUAUGAGGUCCACAUUAAUUUUACCUUAUAAAUUCGACGCGUGAUAUAAAACUCUUUCACUUCUCUACCAUAAAGCUGACGCGUUAUAUAAACUCUUUACUUAAAAAUUUCCUCCAAAUUAAAUCACUGUACAUGUUGACAUUUUCUGUCCAACGUCAGCAUGGCAUGAGAGAUCACAAAAAAGAAAAACAACAAAACCUCACUUUAAAGAACCACGUUUCUAUGCGGCUAAGCCACCUAUGUAUAAAGGAGGAUCUCUUAAUAAAUCUAUUUUUGGGAUGGAUUUUAAGACCUAAUUUUGAAAGAGAAGUAAUCCCUAACAUGGAGAUCAUGAAUUUAAAUAAAUAAAUAAAUUUUAAAAAUUAAAAAUAAUAAUUCUAAUAAGAAAACAUUUGGAUCGUUAGUUUCCAUUGUUUUUAGAUAGAACACCUAUUUGUAUUCAUCUUUAAAAUGGAUGCUUUACAUUUUCUGGACCGCAAAUGUAGAAAUGCAAUCCAACCCGCAUAAAACAAUUUUCCUACUCUAAAUUAAUUUACUCGAUGUCAUUUCAAAGGUAAGGCCUAGUAUGACUAUGACAUGAGGUCACCCUUGUGAUUGUAGUGACGCUGAUGCAAUGCCUAGAUGAUCUUAUCUCGUUUUGUAAUAAGACUAUACUAACUUAAGGGAUAUUCAUCUGUGUACUCCUGGAAUAAUUUUUAAUACCAUAUUAUUAUUAACGGAAAAAUACAAAAACCCCUCAAAAGUAAGCUUUUUAGACAACCUCCCCGCAAAAGUAAUAUUUUUUGACGAAAAUGCUCUCCCCCAUAUAAAAGAAAUUAUGUUGGGCCACAGCUUCACGAACAUAGUGCCGGAUCGAGAGAAAAAAGUGUCGGACCGCCUUGAAAAGUGUUCGACCGCCCUUUGAAAAGUGUUGGGCUGCCUUUAAAAAGUGUCAGACUCAAAGGAAAAAGUGUCGGGCCGCCUUUAAAAAUUGCCGGACUACCAAAUUGCAAGAGAUUGCGUAGAUUCCCUCGUCACACUGCAUCAAUGAAUUGCCGAAUGUGGUCUUCGAAUUGCCAUAGAGUGUCUGUUGGUUCCCAACUAGCCUCACUCUCUGACCGCCUUUAUAAAGUGCCGGACCUCCUUUAUAAAGUGUUGAACCGCUUUUAAAAAGUGACUUUUUGACUACAAGGUAUUUUUGUUUAAAAAAUUAUGAUUUUUUGAUUUACGGAUAUCUGCUAUAAAACUUAGUUUUUGGGUAAAAGUUGCAAAAAAAAGCUUGAUGAGGUAGGUUAACUAAAAAGUCUACUUUUGGGGGAUAUCUGUAAUUUUCCCUAUUAUAAAAUCUGGUAUAGGUUUUUUUGCAACCAACCUUAAAGUACAAAAGUUGGUUUCUUUACCAAAAUACCAUCUUUUGACCAUGUUUCUCACUUUCUCUCUCUACGCUGGUCUGACAUGCCGUGUAUAGAGUCGGAACUAGUUUGGGAUAUUUUUUGUGUUCAACUGGCUCUAUGUUUACUUGUACAAAGCUUGUCCGACAUAUUUUUUGUGUUUGACCAAUUCUAUAUUCAGCUUGUGCCGGACCGGUACAACCGGCAUACUUUUGUGUCGAACUAACAAAUAUUAGGCAUCAUAUUUCAAAAAUAUGGUUUAAAAUGGGAAGUACUUUGGUCCCAAAAAAUUAACUUCUACUUGGGCGGUGAUCGCAUAGAAAAACAAUGGUGUGGUUGAUAGUGUUCGUUCAAAAGUGUUGGGUGUAAAGCUGCCUUGAAAUUACCAAAAGGGGGGGUGGGUGCAUCCAUAGCUUUCCAUGUUAACUUCAUAAAUAUCGUCAAAAUAUUUGAUUCUGGUGUUGUCCUCUCAAAAAUAUUAGCAUUAUGAAAAAAUUUAGAAAUAAAUUAUUUUAGAAAUAAUUAAAAUAAGAGAUAAAAAAUAUCUAAAAUAAAAUUUGAAUGAUCUAUUUUAAAUUUUAUUGUAUUUUUUCUUAUUAGAUCUAUGAUAAUCAUGUUCGUCGAGAUUAUAUCGACAUAUGAGAUUUUAGAACCAAAAUUUAUACAUAAGAAAUUCCUUUCUUUAGGUUUGGAAUGUUAAAGAAAGUGUAUAUUAUCUACAAGGUUAAUAUGGAAGGUGUGUUCACUAUAACCAAUAUGUAUGAAAAGAGUAAGUGCCUUGUCCUGUAUUUUAUAGUAAGUAUUAAUAUAGUAUUAUGUGUUUUUUAUUUCUUUUCAUUUCUACCAUUCAUUGGAUAUACAUACAUAGAGGUUGUAAAAUCCAGAGAUUAAUAGAAACAAAGUUCUUUUUACAUAAACCAGAGACUCAUGGUAAAAAAAAAAAAAAAAUCGCACACAAACUGUUAGAUGUGUUCCAUGACCUAUCAUAUUCACAGUCCAGAAGCCGAUUCCACGUUUUAAAUCACUGCUUAUAACCCAGCAACUGUUCAUCUCAACCGCCCAUCAUGGAAACCAAUUGGUUAAUGUAAUUACCAAAGAACAUCGACAUCCACUUCUUUGUGUCAUCAUAGUUUUUUAUUCUUAUUUAAAUGUCCAGCCAAAUAAUGGUGUCCCUGUGUCUUAUUCAAUAAUUCUACGAUGGGGCUUUUCAGUUGCAUUAUUUGAACUGAAAAUCAAGACGUUUCAACUGUAUAAUUCUUUCCAUUUAAUCAUGAUGUGCCCGCUGAAGUAGCAUGCUGCAUUAACCAGGAAAAGUCCCAAUUAAUGGUGGUCCUCUCUAACGAUACGCACGAUCCAGACUUGCUAAGUUGCCAGAAUCCGUGUUGUGGAUUCGUGUAGAUUCAGAUUAGGAGGAUUGGCAAUUCAGAUCCAUGGAACUAGUGGAAAAUAGGGGUGGCAAAAGGUCGGGUACGGGUCGGAUCUGGCUGGACUCGGACCCAUACUCAAAUGAUAUUCGGAUCCAGGUUUCGGACCCAGACCUAUCGGUUUAAAAGUUGAACUUAUACCCGUACCCAUCAGGUCCCAGGUCUAUCCCAUCGGAUCCUAGGUUUGGUUGGGUCCAUUGCCACCUUCACUAUGAGCUAUAUUUUUUUUGCCCUUUCUCUACCAUCAUAUACUUAUAUUAUUGGCAACAAGGUCACAACCCCCCGCCCAUAGAUUUCAAGUCAUAUGAUUUGUUGUUUAAUAGUUAAAGAUGACUACGACUUCUUAUUGUAUACGAUGCUUAAUACACCCAAACAAAUUGGGUUUGAAGAAUUUUAUCUCCAACAGUUUACGGGUACGGAUCAGGAUCCAAUCAGACGCGGACCCGAAUUGCGUUUGGGUCCAGGUUUUGGACCAAGACCCAACCCUUAAAUGUUGGACCCAUACCCAAACCCAUGUUAGAUAUAUACCUAGUGGGUCCCAUGUCAGGUCCGGGUUCAUUGCUAUCCCUAAUGGAAAAUAAGCUCUAAAAAUAAAAUAAAAUCCAGAGAACUUGGAGGGGAAGGCGAGAUUGGCUGUUCUUGACUGAGAUUGCUGGAUUUUAAAACCCUACUGGCUACUAAUGCUCUUGUUAUGGCAAUUCAUGGGCAAAAUUCUGCUCACAUUAGUGAACCGGUAGACUUGUCUUCAAAAUCUGGAUUGUUGGGGUGGAUUGCCCAUCCCAUGAAUCUGGGUCACAUUGUUGGUCUGGAUCGAUCCAAAUCUAUUCAAAUGGAAAAUAUGGAAAAACAUUAAAAAAUUUAAAAUAAAAAUAGUUGUUCGUGGAGUGGGGAAUUUAGACCGAUACCUAAUAUAGGUGGCCAGAUUAUGAAAGACUGCUUUGUAUUUAGCAUUAUAUCGUGUAAUAUUGAAAUCACACAAAAUAUAAUCCUCACCAAGAGAAAAGGAUGAAGUCUCUAUAGACCUAGACUUUAUGAAAGAAAAAUAAAAGCCUCACCUCAAAUCCUCGUCUGAAAAGUACUUUCGAGAAUGGAAAUACCCAUGAUGGAUCUAAAUCAAUUUCCAACACUGAUAAUAAAAAUGGAAAAUUUCCAUCACUGAUUAAAAUUCGAAACUCAAGAGAGAGUACAAAUGUUGUUGAUCUAUGAACACAUAAUUUUAUAAUGAAAUUGACAGUUUAGAUAAUUUGUUAUAAUAUACAUGAUUUUUAAAGCUUAAAAUCCUAAUAAUACCUUAUGGAUUGAAAGUUAUAACUGUGCUAAAUGGGACAUGUCACUGUCCCAACUGCACAGCAGGUUUCAGAUAGGAUGCCCCCUUCUAAUGAGCUUUUAAAGGACCAAACGGGGUCCAAACGUUUCCAAAGCACCCCCAUUUGAAAGAUAUGAGUGUCUAGUGCAAAAUUAAUUUUGGAAUCGUUUUCGAAUCUCGAAUGGAUAGAAUAUUAUGGCCCUGUUUAUGACUGGACAUCACUGUCUAUAAUUGCUGGAAAAUAGGAUAUUAUGAUACUGAAAAUAUGAUAUCGUGAUACUGAAAAUAUGAUACUGUGAUAUGACGUCACUGAUUAAUGUUGUGAUUCUGUUAUAUUGAAAUUAUUAAAUGUGCCAUGACCGCUAUGCAAUGGGUCCUCCAUUGGUAGUUGGAUAUAUUGUAUCUCGACUCUUAUGAUAGAAGUGGAGUCGAGAAGUGACUACGAAUGACAGGGAGGGUCGCGUCCCUCCCCUCCCCCCCUACCAAAAAUUAUUAUGGGCACUACGCAUUGGGCCCUCCAAUAGUAGUGUAAUGCCCUCUCGUCUGAAGGCGUAAGGAGAGGGUUGUGUCUUGCAAGGCCACUGCCUAUCGAAAAUCCCAAAGCGAGCAAAGGAUUCUGCGCAUGAGUGAGGACAUUGUGAAAUGGGACAUCCAUUUUUCAUUGUCCUCCCUCCUGAAUGAGGGUAGAAGUUCCAAGUUGCAGGGUUGGCUUAGCCUGAUCGAGGUGGCGUCUACUUCGGGAGUAAAUAGAUAUGUUCUAUCUGUUUGAAUUAGGCAUUCUGUGUGAACAUCUAACUGUAAUUGUGAUAAGCAUAGAUGUAUUUUCCAUCUCAAGAACAAUUGAUACUCUGAUAUCUAAAUGUUGCUCUCUUUAAACGACAAAUAUAUUUUCUGAUGCACAAUCUUACUCUGUGACGUUAGUAUGAUUUCUGAUGAAUCGUAGACCAUGUUAUUAUGUAUAUGCAUGUAGGUGGAAUUGCUAGGGCACUGAUCUACUUACUGGGAUUUUAGCUCAUUCUUCUUAUUUUUCCAUCUGUGUAGAGUGAUAAUCGACCAUUCUUGAGAGGGCAACUGGACAAUGGUGGCAGGUGGCUGAAGCUUGGGACUGAUCAAGGAACUUUUUGAUGGUAGGUGUCGGGUGGCGGUGCCACAAUAUUGUUUUGUUGUAAUGUUGUCUUGUUAUUAUCGGGCCGGGAGUGCCUUGGAAAGAAUUGUAAAGAACCUUUGGAGAUUUUAUACGUACAUAAUGGUUUUAAUUUGUGUGUUAUUAUGUUACUUGUUGAAUGAAUUUUUAUUUUCUUUGGUGGUUUGCUUUGAUUCUAUAUUUCUAAAUGCAGUGAACCAGUGGGUUCUCCCCUUUGGUAGAUUUGUCUAUGAAGAUUGAGAGGGACUGUGAAGAGUCUCGAUUCGAGAGAAAUAGGAAAAUGGGACCAGCUCAGUUGGAGAACCUUGGGAGGAAGACUCGGCCGCCUCCGAAGAAAUGCUUCAAGGAAAGAUAUAACCAAGGAAAUAAGAAGAUUCAGAAGACCUUUUCAAGCGACAUAAGGAAGAACCAGUGCCCGAUGUGUCCAUACAAUGGGAAGGACAAUCACUCUGUGGCUAAGUGCCAGAGAAGGGCAGGAGCGUAUUUCAGAUGUGGAUAGCCUGUCCGGUAAAGGGACCAAAAAACCGAUCGAAGGCUCAAGGUCGGGUAUUUGCUCUCAUCGAACGAGAAGCCAACGCAUCUGCUUAUGUAAUCCGAGGUACGCUCUUUGUUUGUGGCAUGGAAACUAAAAUUUUGAUUGACCCUAGAUCUUCGCACUCUUUUGUUGAUCUCAUUUUGGAUGCCACAUGAAUGCUAGACCUGCACUUCUUGACUGGCCUUUGGUAGUAUACGCACCUAUGGAGGAAUCUUUAGAAACUGAUAUUGUUUAUAAAUAUUAUGGACUCUUGCUUAAAGGAUGUGUCUUAUCUAUAGACUUGAUACUGUUAUACAUUCAAGAUUUUGAUAUUAUUUUGGGCAUGGACUGAUGUCCACACAUUAUGCUACAGCAAAUUGCUAUGAUAAAAUUGUAACCUUUAGAUGCCCAAAUCAACCUGAGUUGAAUUUUGUAAGCAUUAAGGAUGGCUCCCCUCUACACCUUCUUUUGCCCCUUCGGGCUUCUCGCCCAUAGGCCAAAAGAUGUGUUGGGUAAUUGGCCUAUGCAGUAGAGAAUCAAGAUGUCCAAUCCAAGUUAGAAGAGAUACCAGUGGUGAGGGAAUAUUCUGAAGUUUUUCUUGAGGAGUUGACAUUUGUGCCUCCAUUCAAGGAGGUGGAAUUUGAGAUAGAUGUGAUUUCAGAUACAGUUCGCAUUUCUAAAGCCCCUUAUAGGAUAACCCUAGCCGAAUUAAAGGAACUAAAAGAACAAUUACAAGAGUUGUUGGAAAAGGGGUUCAUUUGACCCAGUGUGUCACCUUGGGGUGCACCGGUCCUAUUUGUGAAAAAGAAAUAUGGGUCUUUAAGGCUUUUUAUAGAAUAUAGAUAGCUGAACCAGGUCACUGUAAAGAAUAAAUACCCCUUGCUUGGAAUUGAUGACCUUUUUUACCAACUUCAAAGGGCCCAAGUGUUUUCUAAGAUUGACCUUCGGCCAGGCUAUCAUGAACUACAGGUCAAGGAAGAAGAUGUCCCUAAAACCGCGUUCAGGACUUGGUAUGGACACUAUGAAUUCUUGGUAAUGCCGUUCGGGUUGACCAAUGCUCUGGCUGUCUUUAUGGAUUUGAUGAAUAAAGUUUUUAAACCCUUUCUAGAUGAUUUUGUGGUAGUCUUUAUUGAUGAUAUUAUGGUAUAUUCAAGGAACAUGGAAGAGCAUGGGCAGCACUAGAAUGGUCCUCCAAACUCUAAAGACCGAGAAGUUGCACGCUAAAUUGGAGAAGAGUGAAUUUUUGCUUCCGAACCUGUCCUUCCUUAGGCACGUUGUAUCUAGGGACGGGGUGACAGUUGACACUUGUAAAAUUGAAGUUGUACUUUAGUGGGGAAGACCGACGAAUGUGAUUGAGGUCCGUAGUUUUUUGAGACUGACAGGAUAUUAUAGGCGCUUCAUAGAAGGGUUCUCAAAGAUAGCACUCCCCCUCCCCCUGACUCGCCUAACCCAGAAAGAAGUGAAGUUUGUGUGGACAGAUGAUUGUAAAAUAAGCUUUCAAGAACUGAAGAAGAGAUUGACCACGGCCCUGAUAUUGGCCUUCCCCGAAGGGAACGAGGAUUUUGUGGUUUAUACUGAUGCCUCUCAAAAAGGGCUUGGAUGUGUGUUGAUGCAACGAGGGAAAGUCAUAGCGUAUACCUCAAGACAGUUAAAGUCAUAUGAGAAAAAUUACCCAACUCAUGACUUGAAACUCGCAGAUGCAGUGUUUGCCUUGAAAAGAUGGAGACAUUACCUCUAUGGGGCCUAGUUUAAGAUAUUUACAGAUCAUAAGAGCCUCAAGUAUCUAUUUUCUCAUAAGGAGUUAAACAUGAGGCAAAGAAGAUGGAUGAACCUACUCAAUGAUUAUGACUGUACCAUCAAUUACUAACAGGGGAAGACCAAUGUAGUAGCUUAUGCUUUGAGUAGAAAGCCCAUGGUAUCAAUGGUACAUUUGAUGGUUUAAGAGAUGAAACUAUUAGAAGAUGCAGUGGAGUGGCUCCCAACCCUGCCCCUUAGUGAUGGGGUAGGAAUGACAGCUUGUAUGAGGAUGGAGCCCCAACUCUUUCACUAGAUUCAAAUGGCACAAAAGGAAGAUCCCUGACUCAUGAAAAUCUUAAAAGAAAUAAAGCUGGUAAGAAAUGAUGAUUUCUCUAUGAGCAGUAAUCAUCUAUUAAGAUUUAAAGAUCGGGUAUGUGUUUCAAAUGGUGAGAGUGUGAAGCAUGCUAUUUUGGAGGAAGCACACGACUCUCGUUAUAUUGUACACCCAGGGAGUACUAAGAUGUGUCAGGACAUGAAGAAGACUUUCUCGUGGAAUGAUAUGAAAAAGGAAGUGGCACAGUUUGUCUCUAAGUGCUUGACAUGUCAGCAAGUAAAAGCUGAACAUCAGAAACCCGUCGGACUGUUGCAACCCUUGCCCGUACUAGAGUGGAAAUGAGAACACAUCACUAUGGACUUUGUCUCUGGCUUGCUUAGAACAGGUAUUGGGCAUGAUAGUAUUUGGGUCAAUGUGGACUAAUUGACUAAAGCUGCUCACUUCUUACCGGUCCGCACAACUUAUACUUUGAAUAAAUUGACCCAAUUAUACAUUAAAGAAAUUGUAAGGUUGCAUUGAAUAUCUGUCAGCAUCGUGUCCGACAGGGACACUAGAUUUACUUCAAGAUUUUGGAAUAGUUUGCAAUCAGCUUUGGGGAUACAACUCUUUUUUAGCACUGCUUUCCACCCCCAGACUGAUGGCCAGUCAAAAGGACAAUUCAGACCCUAGAGGAUAUGUUAAGGGCUUGUGUUAUUGAUUUCAAAAGAAGCUGGGAUGACCAUAUGCCUCUGAUAGAAUUUUCUUAUACAACAGCUUCCAAGCCAGUAUUCAAAUGGUGCCUUUUGAGGCCAUGGAUGGGAGGAAGUGUAGAUCACUUAUCUGUUGGGAUGAGGUCAGUGAAAGGAGAAUGUUAGGGCCAAAAAUUGUUCAAACGACCUCAGAAAAGAUUGCCUCGAUGCAAAAGAGACUCAAGACUGCUCAGAAUCGACAGAAGAGAUACAUUGAUAAUCGAAGGAGAGACCUCGAGUUUGAGGUGGGUGAUCGAAUUUUCUUGAAGGCAUCACCAACUAAGGGUAUUAUGAGAUUCGGCAAGAAAGGAAAAUUGAGUGCACGAAUUAUUGGACGUUUUGAAAUUCUGGAAAAAGUUGGGAGUAUGGCUUAUCGACUUUUCUUACCACCUGAGUUGACGAAUAUUCAUGACGUGUUCCAUGUAUCACGAUUAAGGAAAUAUCAGCCGAUCCCAUCCCAUGUUCUGAGCUAUAAACCAAUUUCGAUCAAAGAAGACUUGACUUAUAUUGAACAAUCGAUUGAAAUACUAGACAUAAGAGUGCAGGUGUUACGCAAUAAAGAAACUCCUCUGGUCCGUGUGUUAUGACAGUAUCACUCAAAGGAAGAAUCGACAUGGGGACGAGAAUAUGAAAUCUGGGAUAAGUACCUCCAGUUGUUUGACUAACUAAAAUAUGAUUUUGAGGACAAAAUCCAAUUUAAGGGAGGGAACGAUGUAACGACCCAGACUUUCCCAGCCAAAGAAAGUAUGCCCGGCGGUAAGAGGGAAGAAGAUGAGAAAGUGCACGCGGUGGUAAGAGAGAAGAAGAAGAAGAGAAAGUGUGCACGACAGUAAGAGAAAAGAAGAAGAGAAAGUGUGCGCGGUGGAGUGCGCGCGGCGAUAAGAGAAGAAGAAGAAGAGAAAAUACGUGUGGCGGUAAAAAAGAAAAGGAAGAGAAAAUGCGCACGGCAGGGUGCGUGCGUGCAGCGGUAAGAGAGAAGAAGAAGAGAAAGUACGCGUGGCAAUAAGAGAAUGAAGAAGAGAGAGAAAUGUGCUCGGUAGUGAGAAGAAGCAGAAAAGAGUUUCGUCGUGCACAACAUCGUCGAGCCUGUACAUGACUCAUGGAUGCCACUUGCCUAUUGCAUGCUGCCACAAUUGCCACAUGUCAAACUGCAUGUCACUGAACUACCACAUGGCAACCCCAACCUAGCACCUCACACUUUUGGAGUACAUAAGCCUCUCUCUCUUUCCCUCACGCCAUGUUCUUACUCUUACAAGGCAAAACACGUAGCAUCAGCAACCCCCUUUUCUAACCUUUGUUGGACCCCAAAUUGAGGAGCUUGAGGAGUGAGUUGUGGGUAGAAAUCUAAGAACACCAUUGCAAACACAAGGUAAGUGGGUCAACUAUCUUGUAGGUCCUUAAGCAUGGAUUUAGCAUGAAUUAAGUGUAAGAAUGAGCACGGGUAGAUGCAUGAAUAGUGGAUGUAUAUGUACACUGUUAUAUUAUGAUUUCCAGCACUUUAGCAUUCCUUUGCAUGCUCAAAAUGAGUAUCAAAUCUUCUUUUCUUUCCAUGGAAAACCUGUGAUUAAGUGUUUAUGUGUAUCUAAUAGUCAAUAAGAGAGGUUUUACAUUAAGAUAUAGAAUUUGGGAUUAAUUGGUUGUCAUUUUGAAUUAUGCUACAACUACACUUUAAUUUUCAAGAAUAUUCUAUGUCUUUGUAAUCUACUUUUGAUCGAUCAAAUGAGAUCCAAAUGACCUUAAAUCACUGCCAUUAGAGAUAUAUAUGUGUCUACUAAAAUGUUCUUGUUUGAAUCUUACUCAAAUCUUUAUGCAUGAAUAGUGAUUCAAAAUGUGCAAGUAGGUCACUGUUGACAAAUUUAGUAAAAUUACAGAACUGAUGUCCCUGUUGUCACGAAUUUUGACUGACCAAAUAAAGUCUGUUUUCUUUUAAAUCACUGCCAUUUGAAAUAUCUUUGAGUAUGCUUGCAAUCAUAUGUUGAAAACAUUUCGAAAUUCCUCUCAGGUUGAGAGUUAGACAAUUAUUUGUGAAGAUAUGUUACCGUGGAUAGAUAUCAUAAAAUCCAGAACCAUUACUUUGGUUUUCACGAAUGAAUGCCUGUUCUCAAAUUGCCAGUGUUUGAAAGACACAUGUUUUUACUCGAAUUUUGAUUUUGAAAACACUUCAAAAUGUCUUAUGGAUUGAAAGUUAUAACUCUGCUAAGUGGGAUAUGUUACUGUCCCAGCUGCAUUGCAGGUUUCAGAUGGGAUGCCUCCCUUCCAAUAAGUGAGUUGGAAUAUAUGUUUGUCUAGUGUAAAAUUGAUCUCAGAACCGUUUCUGAAUCACAAUUGGAUCGAAUAUUAUGACCCAAUUUAUGACUGGACAUCACUGUUUGAAAUUACAGGAAAAUGUGAUACUAUGAUAUUGAAAAUAUGAUAUCGUGAUACUGAAAAUAUGAUUUCAUGAUAAUGAAAAUAUGAUACUAAGUAAUGUUGUGAUUCUUUUAUAUUGAAACUGUUAUAUGUGUCAUGACCGCUACGCAAUAUGUCCUCCAUAAGUAGUGGAUACUAUGAUUCUGUUAUAUUAAAACUAUUACAUGUGCCAUAACCGCUACGCAAUGGGUCCUCCACUGGUAGUGGAUACUGUGAUUCUAUUAUAUUGAAACUGUUAUAUGUGCUAUGACCACUACGCAAGGGGUCCUCCAUUGGUUGUUAGAUAUACUGUAUCUCGACUCCUAUGCUAGGAGUGGAGUCGAAAAGGGAAUAUGAAUGAUAGAGAGGGUCGCGCCUCCCCCCCCCCCCCCACCAAAUUGUUAUGGGCACUAUGUAUUGAGGCCUCUAAUGGUAGUGUAACGCCCUCUCGCCUUAAGGCAUAAGGAGAGAGUUGUGUCUUGCAAGGCCACAGUCUAUCGAAAAUCCCAAAACAUGCUGGGGAUUGUGUGCGUGAGUGAGGGCAAUAUGAAAUGGGACCUCCAUUUGUCAUUGUCCUCCGUCCUGAAUAAGGGUAGAAGUUCCAAGUUAUAGGGUUGGCUUAGCCUAAUCGAUGUAGCUUCUACUUUAGGAGUAAAUAAAUAUGUUCAGCCUAUCGAAAUUAGGUAUUAUGUGUGAACAUUUGACAGUAACUAUGACAAGCAUAGAUGUAUAUGGCAUCUCAAGAGCAAUUGAUACUUUGAUAUCUGAAUGUUAACUCUCUUUAUACGGCAACAAUAUAUUCUGAUGCACGAUCCUACUCUGUGAUGCCAAUAUGAUUUCAUUGAACCGUAGACUAUGUUAUUAUGUAUAUGCAUGCAGGUGGGAAUGCAAAGGCACUGAUCUACUUACUGGACUUUUAGCUCAUUUUUCUUAUUUUUCCAUCUGUGUAUAGUGCUGACCAUUCUUGUGGGGGAAACUAGACAGUGGUGGCAGGCGGCUGAAGCUCGAGACUGAAUAUCACAACCCCACCCCUUAACCUCUACCGGAGGGCGAUGGAGUUCGGGAUCGUGACCGAAGGACCCGAACGUCACUCAGGUGGGAGUGGCUCAAUGCAUGAAAAUGCAGAUUCAAGAGCAAACCAUUAAAGAAAGCUAGAAUAAAACAAUUCAUCAAAUAAAGAACAAUUCAAAAGUACAUCCAUCUCAUUCAUAUGAGUGUUAAAAAGCCUUUACAAAUCCUUCAAGGCACUACUGGCUCAAAAUACACAAAAUGAGGUACACCACACAUUACUAAGACAUCCAAAACAUACAAUGAAAGUCUUCAAAGGAUGGCUUUCUAACCUCUCGACUUCUAGCUUCAUAUCCCUAAUGGUCGCCCACCUUAAGCGUAGGUGUCAACACUCUUCACUCUAUAGUUAUGAAAUAAGAUGGAAUGAGCUAAAAGCUUAAUUUGCAGAUCUCCACCAUUGCAUUUCAACUAGUAUGAUAGUGAUAACAAAUACGUAACACACACAUAUACGUACAAAUCCAUAUGUAUUAAAUAAAGUCCCUCAACAUGCUUCUCAACACUCUAAUAGAAAAUGUGAGAGAGGCAGUUCAAUAUAUAUGUAAUGCAGAAGUCACAUCCCACCUUUCUUAAAGUAGAGUAAUAAAGACAGUAGAUCAUAAUUGCAGUUAGAAACUCAGGCAGAAAGCUUAAAUAAGUCCAGCAAACACAUCUACCUACUCCUAAAAUAGAAGUCACAUCAGUCAGGCUAAGCCAAUCCUGAACUUGGGACUUCUACCCUCACUCAGGAGGGUAGACCAUGAAAAGGGGAAGACCCACUUUGUAAGGCCCUCACACACACACACAUCCCCAUCGUGCUUUGGGGUUUUCGAUAGGCUGAUGCCUUGAAAGACACUACCCUCUCCUUAGGCCUUUUUUUGUGAGAGGGCAUUAUACUACCAUUAGGUGACCCAAUGUGUAGUGCCCACAAAGAUUUGGGGGGCGCGACCUUCCCAACUACUCACAUCUUGAGUCUCAUCCUAUCAUGGGGAGUCAGGGAAAAAUCAUAGCUAUCAACACCAUCCUUCACACAGUAGGUGCCAUUUCGCAUAUAGCAUAAGCAUCAUGAUAUCAUCAUGCACACAGUAGGUAUCCAUUCACAUAUAGCAUAAGCAUUAUGACACCAUCAUUCACACAAUAGGUAUCCAUUCACAUAUAGCAUAAGCAUUAUGAUACCAUUAUUUACACAGUCGGUAUCCAUUCACAUAUAGCAUAAGCAUUAUGAUACCAUCAUUUACACAGUAGGUAUCCAUUCACAUAUAGCAUAAGCAUUUAUGAAGAUCAUGCAAUUCAUAUCGUAAUAGGGCAUUCAUCAUAAUCAUGCUUCCAUGUCAUAGCAAAGCAUAACUUCAUUAUCAUGCAUGCGUACGUGCGCUCACAGUUGGGGUCCUAACUUUUGGACCAUUUAGAGUUUGAAGAUGAUUACAAAAUCAAUUUCAUACCGAACACACUAUCCCUCACUUGGGAGUGGUUUAAAGAGAGCAGGAUUAUAUUUGACCUCUUAAAGGUUCAAGGAAACGAGGGUUAACUAACUGCCCCUUGCUGUGUACGGUGGACAGCAACGUGCUCUGCUUCAAAUUAUAACAUUCAAACCGUAAAACAACUUAUGACGAUUUCAAAAUUAAAGUUUAAGUCAAGACGUAUAUCUUUCUAACAAACCAAACUUUAAAGCAUUUUGAUUCCAUUUGGUAGUUCGAAAAUUCAUGGCAAAUAAGACAAUAGUUUUGAUUUUCAUCAAUACUACCCACAGUGACAUACCUUCAUAAAGCAAGGUAUAACUUUCAAUCUAGGAAGCAUUUCAAAAUAGUUUCCCAUAAAAAUUUUAGCCCAUUCAAAUGGUUGUGGUUUGGCUGAAAACGAACUUCGUUUGUCUAGUAAAAUCAAUGACCACAGUGAUGUAAAUGAAAAUUCCAUGAAAAUAGUCAAUAAUGAUAUACCUUUCUAUUUUGAAAUAUAAUUUCAUUUUUGUAAGCAAUUUUAGAAAUGGGUAAAAAUAAACGUUUUACUAAACUCAUAUAUCUUUCUAAUAGGGGUGAUUUGAGGUCAAUCGGACCCCAUUUAGCUGUUCAAAAGCCUCCUAUAAGAACAUAUAAACUUCUAAAAUUUCACAGUGGCGUACAAUAUGUCUCAAGCAUAUAUCCCAUGAUCUUCAUUUCAUGGUGAGGUACAUGAUAACAAUCAUUCUCUCACAUUGUGAACACACACAUAAUCAUGCAUAGCAUGCAUUUCUUACAUAAUAUAAGAAUCAUGCAUUCAUUAUUGACAUUCACCAUUAUUAUAGAAUAAGAGCCUCAAUUUCUAAAUAAAAAGGCAUUAGGAUUUUCUUACAUCACAUACACUUUCAUUCUCAUUUUACAUGCAUAAAUCCCAUGCAUCCUUACGACUAUCAUGCAAUGGUGAUGGAUCCACUUACCUAAACGACAAUAGUGUCUUCUCCACUUCUCUCCUCAUAGCUCUCACCUACCCAACUAUGGCUGCCCACC
Molecule: long non-coding RNA, 16497 nt
Filed under: Amborella trichopoda
Lineage: Eukaryota; Viridiplantae; Streptophyta; Magnoliopsida; Amborellales; Amborellaceae
Description: long non-coding RNA (ATRI_LNC004362)
Source: RNAcentral